This 464-nucleotide ribosomal RNA is filed under the name Vreelandella stevensii. Its description in RNAcentral is "partial 16S ribosomal RNA". It matches the Rfam family "Bacterial small subunit ribosomal RNA", at positions 338 to 795 of the family's 1533-position model. The record is from RNAcentral. Lineage: Bacteria; Pseudomonadati; Pseudomonadota; Gammaproteobacteria; Oceanospirillales; Halomonadaceae.
CCUACGGGGUGCAGCAGUGGGGAAUAUUGGACAAUGGGCGAAAGCCUGAUCCAGCCAUGCCGCGUGUGUGAAGAAGGCCUUCGGGUUGUAAAGCACUUUCAGUGGGGAAGAAAGCCUUGGGGCUAAUACCCUCGAGGAAGGACAUCACCCACAGAAGAAGCACCGGCUAACUCCGUGCCAGCAGCCGCGGUAAUACGGAGGGUGCGAGCGUUAAUCGGAAUUACUGGGCGUAAAGCGCGCGUAGGCGGUCUGAUAAGCCGGUUGCGAAAGCCCCGGGCUCAACCUGGGAACGGCAUCCGGAACUGUCAGGCUAGAGUGCAGGAGAGGAAGGUAGAAUUCCCGGUGUAGCGGUGAAAUGCGUAGAGAUCGGGAGGAAUACCAGUGGCGAAGGCGGCCUUCUGGACUGACACUGACGCUGAGGUGCGAAAGCGUGGGUAGCAAACAGGAUUAGAUACCCCGUAGUC